This 492-nucleotide ribosomal RNA is filed under the name uncultured bacterium. RNAcentral's name for it is "partial 16S ribosomal RNA". It matches the Rfam family "Bacterial small subunit ribosomal RNA", at positions 29 to 507 of the family's 1533-position model. The record is from RNAcentral.
AGUGAACGCUGGCGGUAGGCCUAACACAUGCAAGUCGAACGGCAGCACAGUAAGAGCUUGCUCUUACGGGUGGCGAGUGGCGGACGGGUGAGGAAUACAUCGGAAUCUACUUUUUCGUGGGGGAUAACGUAGGGAAACUUACGCUAAUACCGCAUACGACCUACGGGUGAAAGCAGGGGAUCUUCGGACCUUGCGCGAUUGAAUGAGCCGAUGUCGGAUUAGCUAGUUGGCGGGGUAAAGGCCCACCAAGGCGACGAUCCGUAGCUGGUCUGAGAGGAUGAUCAGCCACACUGGAACUGAGACACGGUCCAGACUCCUACGAGAGGCAGCAGUGGGGAAUGUUGGACAAUGGGCGCAAGCCUGAUCCAGCCAUACCGCGUGGGUGAAGAAGGCCUUCGGGUUGUAAAGCCCUUUUGUUGGGAAAGAAAAGCAGCAGGUUAAUACCCCGCUGUUCUGACGGUACCCAAAGAAUAAGCACCGGCUAACUUCGUG